UUAAAUGAUGUAGCCGGCGUCCCCAAGCCAACCCAAGCCAUUCAGUUACAGUGUGAAUGUCUGAUCGAUAAGAGGAGCUAUUCAGCGGAGAGCUGAAGCAAAAAUAAAAAGAGAUUUGUUCGAUUUCCCAUUUGCCGCCGCCCGCCCGUCGCCUGCUGCCAUCACGUCGUUUCAUGCAUCAAAAAUUUAAGUGCUCUUCUUACACCACGUUGCCACCACCACGCUGCCGCCACAUAUUGUCUGCCUCCGGUGUCGUUGUCGUCAUUUGCCACACCACGUUCCUUCCAGCCACCACGUUGUUCCCGCCAGCCACCACCAUCAUCACGCUAAAAUAAUUCCUGUGCCAUCACGUUGCCACCACCACGCUGCCGCCACAUCCGCCACAUUAUUGUCUGCCUCCGCUGUCGUCGUCAUUUGCCACACCACGU
Episyrphus balteatus (marmalade hoverfly) is the source of this 428-nucleotide long non-coding RNA. RefSeq lists it as uncharacterized. Lineage: Eukaryota; Metazoa; Arthropoda; Insecta; Diptera; Syrphidae. The transcript has 4 exons. The record is from RefSeq and is a predicted model, not a curated record.